UAUAAAAGUAAAAGUAAUUUUAUUUUUGUAACUAAGUUUUUUAAUUGCUAAAAACAUAACAAUUUAUACUACAGAAAUAAAUUUAUUUCUCUAUUAAAAUUAAAUUUUUGAUGCGAAAAACUUGUGUUUUAUAAAAAGUAAGUUAUUUAAUAUAAAUAUUAAUUUGUUGAAAUUUAGGUUACAUCUUCUCAAUUUGAUUCCACUAUCUUCUAAAUUAUUAACCAUCCAAGAUUAAACUUUUAACUACAUUUAUAGGGUGUAAAUCUUAAAUUUUUGUACUAAAUAAAAUAUUUUAAAAAUCAAUUAAAAUAACUGUAACCCUCGUACAUACUUAAAAUUAGAUACUUACUUGUACAUUUUAAACAUUUGUUAUUACUUCUUCAUAAAUAUUGUUUAUGAAUCGAUUCACGAUUUUUACUUAUACCUUUUGAUAAAUAAAUUUUAUUUGCAAUAAAUCUAUAUUACAUAAUAGACAAAUAUGUUGAUACUUACUGUAUUAUGUACUGGUUAUAAUUUUAAAGAAAUUUUAAAAGCUAUACUUUUUCUUUUAUAGACUAGGUAGGUAUGUAUAAUAUAUACUUAUUUAACAAACUUUCACUUAAAUUUUAUUAGCUUCUAAUUUUUCAAAUAUUUUAUUUAAUAAUUAAUUGUAAUUUGUAUGUUUUUUUUUUUUUAGGAUGGAUCAUGACUCCUACAAAAUAAAAUCGGUCAAGUAAGAUUAUUAUGAUUUAAAGAAAAAUUAUUUGGUUAUGAUAUUAAUAUUAUUAAUUUAAAAUAAUAAAAACACUGUAAUUAUAAAAUAAAACACUUAUUAUGACAUCAAUUCGAGAUAAACAAAUUGCUGCGUUAAAGCAAAUGCUAAACUUAAAUAGUCCAGACUAUAAAGACAGUAGUUCAGAACCUGUAUGGAAAGUACUGAUAUAUGAUCGCCGUGGUCAAGAUAUCUUAUCACCAUUAAUUCCAAUUAAAGAACUAAGAGAAUGUGGUGUAACAUUACAUUUGAGCAUUCAUUCUGAACGUGAUCCCAUACCUGAUGUAGCAGCUAUUUAUUUUUGUAUGCCAGAUCAAGAUAAUCUUGAUAGAAUAUCUCAAGAUUUCCAAAACAAUGUCUAUGAAAAAUAUUAUUUAAACUUUAUCUCAGCUAUUUGCCGUCAAAAACUAGAAGAUUUGGCUAGUUCAGCUUUACAAACAGAAAAUGUUAUCCAUGUUCAUAAAAUUUAUGAUCAAUAUUUAAAUUUUAUAUCUUUGGAAGAUGAGUUAUUUUUAUUAAGUAAUCAGAAUUCUCAAUCAGUGUCAUAUUACGCAUUGAAUCGUUCAGAUGCAAAAGACACAGAUGUAGAAAUAAUGAUUGAUGAUACUGUUGACGGUUUAUAUUCUGUUUUUGUUACCCUUGGAACAUUACCUAUUAUUCGUAGUGCUCGAGGUAAUGCUGCAGAAAUGGUUGCUGAAAAAUUAGAUAAAAAACUUAGAGAGAAUUUAAGGGAUACUAGGAAUAGUUUGUUCUCGUCAGAGAAUUCUGGAAUUUACAAUUUUCAACGACCUCUUUUAAUUGUUCUUGACCGAAAUGUUGAUAUGGCAACACCUCUACAUCAUACAUGGACUUAUCAAGCAUUAGUGCACGAUGUAUUGAAGCUUAAUUUAAACAGGGUUACAGUGGUUCAUGAGCAAAAGAAACCAAAAACCUUUGAUCUGGAUCCAAAAGAUGCUUUUUGGAUGACUCACAAAGGAAGUCCAUUUCCUACAGUGGCAGAAUCAAUUCAAUCUGAAUUAGAGCAAUUGAAAAAUUCUGAAGAAGAAGUUAAACAACUAAAAGAAUCUAUGGGUUUAGAUGGAGAAAGUGAUGUGGCUUUAGCAAUGAUGAGUGACAAUACAGCUAAGCUGACAUCUGCUGUUAAUUCUUUACCCCAAUUAUUAGAAAAAAAAAGACUAAUAGACAUGCAUACAGAUUUAGCUACAAGCAUUUUAUCGGUGAUUAAAUCUCGACGUUUAGACUUACUAUUUGAAUUUGAGGAAAAAGUAAUGAGCCAAGCAUCAUUAGAUAAACAAAUAUUAGAUAUUAUAAAUGACCCAGAGGCAGGAACUGCUGAAGAUAAAAUGAGACUAUUCAUAAUUUACUAUAUUUAUACUCAUUCUAUAUUAGAUUCAGACAUGGAUAAUUAUUCUUCAGCUCUAGAAAAACAAGGUUGUGAUCUUAGUCCACUCAAAUAUAUUAAAAGAUGGAAAAUGUAUUCCAACAUAACGUCUACAACAAAUCAAUAUGGAGGGGGUACCAAAUCUGUUAAUAAUAUGUUUGAAAAACUACUUUCUCACACUUCUUCUUUUGUAAUGGAAGGUGUUAAAAAUUUAGUAGUUAAAAGACACACAUUUCCUGUGACUAGAAUUGUUGAUGAGUUAUUAGAAAAUAAACAGUCAUCUAGCACAUCAGAUGAUUUUCGGCAUUUUGAUCCAAAACAGUUACGGAACUCUGAUGGGUUUAAAUCCAAGAAUACUUUCAGCGAGGUUAUAGUAUUUAUAGUUGGCGGAGGCAAUUAUAUAGAGUAUCAAAAUUUAUUGGAAUAUGUAAAAAAUAAAACUGUGUCGCCUGGCAUGCCACAAUUAAGAAUUGUGUAUGGUUCAACUGUUAUAAAUAAUGCACCAGAAUUUUUAGAACAGCUAUCAUUGUUGGGUCAAGAAUUACACUAAUUUGUUUAAAUUUUUUUUCUAAAUUAAAUAUAU
Molecule: long non-coding RNA, 2715 nt
Filed under: Cinara cedri
Lineage: Eukaryota; Metazoa; Arthropoda; Insecta; Hemiptera; Aphididae
Source: RNAcentral